GGCCCCUUAGCUCAGUGGGUCAAGAGCAGGCGACUCAUAAUCGCUUGGUCGCUGGUUCAAAUCCAGCAGGGGCCA
This 75-nucleotide transfer RNA is filed under the name Arsenophonus sp. RNAcentral describes it as "tRNA-Ile". It matches the Rfam family "tRNA". From Rfam's summary of the family: Transfer RNA (tRNA) molecules are approximately 80 nucleotides in length. The record is from RNAcentral. Lineage: Bacteria; Pseudomonadati; Pseudomonadota; Gammaproteobacteria; Enterobacterales; Morganellaceae.